UUGUUGAUAUGUGGAUCUUGCAGGUGAGAGGAGGGGGAUGGCGAAGAGAGGAGGCCUCGAAAGAAAGGGUAACUCCUGCCCAUGAGAGGAGGGGGCGAUCGGUGUUGCCCUUGUAGAAAGGCUGUGGCACGAGAAGGGAAUAGAUGAGGGCUCGAGAGUCAAAGACAUCCAGAUGUGGUGGGAGAGAUGAGGGUUUGGCGAUGCUGUAGGUGCAAGGAGGCCGUCGGCAUGAAAAUACUUGGGGUGCGCGGUGAAGGGAAAUGGAAACGAGGGGAUCAAAGUCACACACAAAAAAAAAAAAAUAGUAAUAAUAAAUUUUAAGGGUUUACCUGCGGUUGGUAACCUGUUAGGAUGGAAAUUCUUGAACCUCAAAUAAUCAAUCGUCGGGAUGCCCCCUAAUCUUCAUUAAAAUAUAUUUAAGGAGUACCGUAGCACAACCCUAAAAAAAAAAAAACUGUCUCCGAUCUGCAGCUCCACCCUCGCCGCAUCUGCGCUCGAACGCCUCUUCGGGCUCCGCAGCUCCGCCCUUGCUGAACUUCAGCCGCGACUCCGCUCUUAGCCCCAUUCUUUACGGCGGAUCUGUGAGAACUUGUUCAAGAGAAGCUCGCAGCUGGGAUCUGGAAGCGGCUCUUCCCGGUGCGCGGCGACUGGCGGGUGGCCUAGGGCGAGGACGCGGGGUCGCGGCCGACAGCGGGAACCUUCCUCGCCGACCUCUCUAGCCACAUCGACGCCGCUCUCUCCACCAUCUGCCGGCUCGCUCCGGAAACCGAAAGGGAACUGAAACGAGAGAGAGAAAGAGAGAGAUGAGGGAAGAAGAGGAGCUGCUGCGGUGCCAAAUUCAGGAAUGGUACCCCAUCUUCAAACCUUAUUCCAUCCGCACCCUCUUCCACCCCCUCCCCGACUCCUUCCUCCGUUACCUCCUCUGCCUCCCGCUCAACCCUUCCUCCCCUGACGGCGACGACGAUGCCCCGCCCCCUUUUCUCCUUCCCGUCUGCGCCUCCGGCCGCGACCCUCUCCCCCGCCCCACCGCUCACAUCGACCCCGUCUCCCUCCUCGAUUCCGAGAAUUCCUUCUCUUCCUCCGACGACGAGGACGCGGGCGAGUCCUCCACCACCGCCGCUCCGUCAUUCCCGGAGCUGGAGGCGGCGGUGGAGCGGUCGAUCGCGGCCCUCGGUGGGGCCGCCUUCCCCAAGCUGAACUGGAGCGCCCCCAAGGACGCCACCUGGAUCUCCGCCGACGGCACCCUCCGCUGCACCUCCUUCGCGGACGUCGCCCUCCUCCUCCACUCCUCCGACGCCAUCGCCCACGACCUCUCCCACGCCCUACCUUCCUGCCGCGACAACGAGCGAUCCUCCACGACAACCUUCUACCUGGCCCUCCGCAAGUGGUACCCAUCUCUCCGCCCGGAGAUGGAGUUCCGGUGCUUCACCCGCCACCGCCGCCUCGUCGGCAUCUCCCAGCGCGAGGUCACCGGCUUCUAUCCGGUGCUUCUCGAUCGCCGCCACGAGAUCCAGCCCCUCAUCGAGGUCUUCUUCGCCGAGGUCGUCAAGCCGAGAUUCGGAUCGGAGGACUACACGUUCGACGUCUACGUGACCGGAGACGGGCGGGUGAAGCUGCUGGACUUCAAUCCCUGGGGGUCCUUCACGUUGCCGCUUCUCUUCAGCUGGGAGGAGUUAGAGGGCGAGGGUUUUGGUGGGGAGGAAGGCCGGGCGGUGGACUUUAGGAUCGUGGAGAGCCGGUGCGGGGUGAGGCCGGGGCUGAAGACCGCCGUGCCCUUCGAUUACUUGGAUACAGCGGAGGGUAGCGGCUGGGAUCAGUUCUUGAAGAAGGCGGAUGAGGAGCUCAGGAGGCAGACCCAGACCACUUCCGCCCCCGAUGCUGACUGAAUGCCUACUGGUAGAAAAAAAAAAGGUGAAGGACUCCUCAUGCUCUUUGAUCUAAGGUCCGUCAGUCUUCAAAAAAAGUCCUUGUUUUUGCUUGUAAUUGUUGUUUAGCAAUGGGUUUUGAAGGCAAUUAUGGAGUUUCAGUUGUAGUUCCAGUUAAUGAUCCGAGUGUUGGUUCAUGUCAUACUGCUGAAAAGAUUACCGACAAAGUAUAGAAGUAUACAUAUCAUGUGUUUGCUUGUAUUGCUCGGUAACAACCCAUACUUUUGCAUCAUUGUGACGCACUAUGAUGCGGGUUAGCUUGAUGUUGCCAAACUGAAAUUAAAUUCAGCCAAACCAAUCCACACUACAUUAUUUCAUUCCGGUAGUUUGGUUUUGCAUCUUUUCUUCAAGCCUUUUUGCAAGCAAAAAGCAUUAGAUGUUUCAAAUUGGAAGUAGACAGAGCCUUGAUGCAGAGAGUUAAGCAUGUCUUAUGAUGAAUUUUCUUCCUAAAGAACAAGCAAACAUUAUUGGUCUAGUAUGAUAGUGGAUAAUAAUUAAUAAAGAUAGAUCCUUGGAUUUUAUAAACAAAUCAAUCUUUUACAUAAAAUUCUGUAUGAAUUGGAGGGACUCUGCAUGACAUGGUCCCUUUGUAUUAGUCAAAGUCUCUUAGAGCUAGUUUAUGAUGCUUUGCAAUUUUGACUUAAGCAUCAGCUUUGUUUGGGAUUGUUUAGGUGAAGAUAAUGCUAAUCUACACCUUGUGGGCAACCUUUGUUAAUUGAUGUAUCACAUAUAUUCAGGUUUUGUCUAUUAGCAGCACACAUGUUUAGUUGGAGCAAUGAUGCUUGAUAUCUCUUAAACUGCCAAACUUGGUUUAUAUAUGUUCAGGACAUGUGUACCCGUCAGUGUGAAGAUCCUAAUAACCAAUCACACUUCUUCCUUGGCCACAUACCUUAAUUACUGAUAAUAAAAUAAUUGUAAAGUGAGCACAAGAAUAUAGCCUAAAAAAGUGAAAAAUUCGAGGUGACAAUCUUUAUGUUUCGCUUAUUAAAGCAUAGAUUCAGCGUAUUCAAAACAGUUUCUUUAAAAUAUCAACUCUGUUCAUGCACAGUGUGUAAUGGGCUGCAUGGUGUUUAAGAAAUAAAAUGUCGAAAGAUUUUUGCUCAUGCACAUAUUUUAUAGGUUCAUGAAUUUUUAGAAAACAAAAGCUUUGAUGAUUUGGGUUUAUGUAUUUGUGGUAUGUGCUUUGUGGUGGUUGAUUUUAUUUAGGAAGGAACCGCUGGAUAACUCUGCUUAAUGGAAAUGUUUUAUUAUCUAUAAUGCAUUCCAUUAGAGCAAAUAAAAUUUUAGUUAAUUUGGUUUGCUGUCUUGCCAUAUGUGCAGUAAUGGAUUGAAUGCUUUUCCGGAAUAUUAUUUUGGCAAUUUCGUUCUUGUGUAAUUUUGGCUCAUGGGUGAUCUUUGUUCCUGCGCAUCAUUGUUUUUAAUAAGAUUUUAGGAAACAAUGUCUUUGCAGAUGUUUUUUCUUGUACUUGCAGGAUGCUCUGUAAUGUUUGCAUGUUGUUCUUGGAAGCCAAACCCUUGGCGAUUGGGGAUCCCAUACGUGUACUUGAAACUCCCAUGACUAGUAAACAAAAUAUAUGACAGAUACGCUGCUGUCCUCCUUAUCUAUCUUUGAGUUCCAUCUCUAUAUAAGUAUAUGAAGGAGGGAAACGAAUUCUCGCAGAUCCCACUUCUUACCACCUCUCAAUCAACAAGAAUGACAGUACCUCAUGUGGAGGAGAGUGUCUCCCACAUAUCUCCAUCUCAUGACUAGACAAAAGAAUAAAAUUUCAUAUGGUUUCCUUGGAAAAGUGUUCACCAACUGAGACACAAAUAUCCCCUACUUCAAAGGGUCCUCCUUGUCUCCUCCUACCUUCUUUUUUCAAAUUUUAUCUACUCUUCUUCCACCAUUGCUGGGUAAGCUGGGAUCAAGCGAAUUAGUCAAGCUCCAAAACCAAGGUAAUUUGAUCCCCCAAGUACCAUACAAACGCACCCCUUCAGCCAUUGCCUUCCCUUUCUGCCUUUCUAAGAUUAAACCCCGAGUGCCUCAGGAAGCCCAGAGGAAUUGACACCACAGUUGAGAGAGCUCGCUUGCACUUCCAGGUUUCAUGGUAUCUUCUGACUGAAUCAUCGAGACCCGGUAAUCUAGAGAGUCUCUGAGGAUCAAUUCAUCCGUGUGGUUGGCAAUUGGAUCCUUGGAAAUGUUCAGGAGUGGAAGCAAGUAGGAGCUUUGCAAGCAAAAUCUAGAAAAGCUGAUACAAGUCAUUGUCUUGUUAUGAAAAUGGGAUUGUGAAGGCUAGCCUUGUAUGGUUUCUGAGUUACUUAUAUUCCUCAAAAUUCCGAACGUUUGCUCUGUGUUUUUAGAACAUAUGAUGGAAAAAAUGAAUCUUGUGUGCAUGGU
RNA transcript from Elaeis guineensis (African oil palm), 4302 nucleotides. RefSeq lists it as uncharacterized. The record is from RefSeq and is a predicted model, not a curated record. Lineage: Eukaryota; Viridiplantae; Streptophyta; Magnoliopsida; Arecales; Arecaceae.